Molecule: ribosomal RNA, 447 nt
Filed under: uncultured bacterium
Lineage: Bacteria
Description: partial 16S ribosomal RNA
Rfam family: Bacterial small subunit ribosomal RNA
Source: RNAcentral
AACGAACGCUGGCGGCAGGCUUAACACAUGCAAGUCGAGCGCCCCGCAAGGGGAGCGGCAGACGGGUGAGUAACGCGUGGGAACGUACCCUUCUCUGCGGAAUAGCUCCGGGAAACUGGAAUUAAUACCGCAUACGCCCUUUGGGGGAAAGAUUUAUCGGGGAAGGAUCGGCCCGCGUUGGAUUAGCUAGUUGGUGGGGUAAAGGCCUACCAAGGCGACGAUCCAUAGCUGGUCUGAGAGAAUGAUCAGCCACAUUGGGACUGAGACACGGCCCAAACUCCUACGGGAGGCAGCAGUGGGGAAUAUUGGACAAUGGGGGCAACCCUGAUCUAGCCAUGCCGCGUGAGUGAUGAAGGCCUUAGGGUUGUACAGCUCUUUCACCGGUGAAGAUAAUGACGGUAACCGGAGAAGAAGCCCCGGCUAACUUCGUGCCAGCCGCCGCUGUAA